CAAAUAUUAGAACAUCUAAAGUGCUGUUGGGAAUGAUAAUUCAAUGAAUAUCCUUGUGACAUUGCUUUAUUGUUCCAACCAAAAACAUGCCAUGCUCAAAACCCAUUCAACAACUUGCCAGUAUUCAACUUGCGAUGCUACAGUUCAAGACUAAUUAGCUUCUCACUAGAAUGCAAGAUGCAUUCGUUACAAGAAAAUUACUAAUUGUAAAAAUGUUCUAGAUAUAAUAUUGAAAAUAGGUCUAUUACACUGAUAGAGCGUAUUCUUAACAAUGACAUGGAAAGCUCACCAGACUUUGUAAAUGUGAUGGUCAGCAUUUUUCCUCUGUACAUCAAUCUUCUAGUAUGUGAGGUUUAGAUUAGGUACUCGUAGUACACCAAGAACAAAGCAUCAGGGAUAUCCUUUGGCAAGCUGUUUAUAUAAAGAUAGAAUCGCAACAAAUCCUCUCUUAACACAGUUUCAGUGUCAACCACAUCCUUACUGCAUGUGAGAACCCACAAGUCACCUGAGUUCACUCUUUUCAGACUUCCCCGGCAAAAUGGGCAAGAUUCUGAUCUUGUGUUCCAGUCAUGGUAGCAGUUGACGCACAUAGUGUGGCAACAGCUUGGCACAACCAUUUUUGUGCAAGGCUCCAAG
Molecule: unclassified non-coding RNA, 636 nt
Filed under: Hevea brasiliensis (rubber tree)
Lineage: Eukaryota; Viridiplantae; Streptophyta; Magnoliopsida; Malpighiales; Euphorbiaceae
Source: RNAcentral